Molecule: long non-coding RNA, 1658 nt
Organism: Equus caballus (horse)
Lineage: Eukaryota; Metazoa; Chordata; Mammalia; Perissodactyla; Equidae
Source: Ensembl
UAUGCCACAGGUAUUUCAAAUACCAGCAGGGUCACCCAUGGUGGACAGGUCUCAGCGGAGAUUCCAGACCAAGACAGACUAGGAAGAAGGAUCUGGCCACCGAGUUCUGAAAAAAGUGGCCAUGAAAACCCUAUGAAUAGCAGCGGAGCAUCAUCUGAUACAGCACCGGAAGACAAAGAUUGUUGGCCUCUGGUCUAUAUGGAAAAGGAAAUUUCUUCAAGGAGGCUACGCCAUGGUGAGCUGCAGGGGUCUGGGAACGCUCUCUGGAGGAAACACUUUUGGAGAGAGUUUUACGAAGUGGACGGGUAAUAGAGAAGCAAAGAGAAAGGAAAAAAUUCCAUACUCUUAGAGUGGAAGGAAGCUUAGAGGCACCUGUGCAGCCUGUGGAAUCUGCCUGCCAGAUACCUGUUCGGACAGCCUCUGCUGGAACUUUUGUGGCGGGCCAUGAUGGCCAUUGAGUGCUUCCUCCUGGAAGACAGAAACCUGCUUCCCUGUGACUUCUGCUUGGCUGUUCUUCCAUGUGUCAACCCUCAGGGAUUCGGAAAGAUAAGUUAGCUUCUCCCAGAUGCUCUCUACACUGACUAAACUUCCCCUGCAACAGUUCUCAUAUACGGUUCUCAGGCUCUUGACCAUCGGAACCGGCCUCCUCUGAACACCCUCUUGGUUGUGAAUACCAAUUUCCAGGACAGCCCCACAAGCUGACAUCGCUGCUCCAAGGAUUUUGGUAUUCCGAGCAUCUUUAACUCCCUUUUCUCUCUUCCCCAGCUAUUUCCCUCAAGUGUAGUAUCUUUGAAAGAGCCCCAGCUUUAGCAUCACGGAGACCUUCAUAUAAAUCCUGGCUCCCCUAUUUACAUCUCUGUAAGCCUCAGUUUCCUCGUCUUUCAGAAACAGACUACAGGAUUACUAUGAGGACUAGAGGUGAUGGUUGUAAAGAGCCCAGGACACACUGGACACUCACUCAGUAGUAGUUAUCUUUAUCAUUCUAGCUAGCCACUGUGACUGACGAAGCCCAAUAUCGCAGGGCAAGCAGUUGCUAAGGCGAGCUUUGCUCCUUGCCGAAAGUCCCUGUAUCUGUUCCCAUAAAAAAUUUAUAAUGUCUUUUUCUGGGAAAAGCAAGGUCCUAAUUUGUGCCAACAGAGGUCUGAAUCCAAUUACAAGCUGCCCCUCGAGGUUGCAUGGCUCUCUCCGUGCUCAUUUUCAUCAGGUUCGUGAGAGCAGCUCCGUCUGCCUGCACAGUUCCGUGAUGCUGGCAUCUCUGUUUUGACCUCCGCCUGCCUUUCUGGCUCCUCGGAGCAGCACGAUAGGCUCUGAUGGGAACUCGUCCUGUAGACCUCACUCUGCUCCCUCACAUAGCUGGACCAUAAACCUGACAAUGCUCUGUAGCCAGGGCAACAUGGGGGCUCUGAGAUGCUGGAGACCAACCUCAUCCCCAUUGUAAUGCACCUUCUAUCCUCGACAGCUCCCCCGAAUAUACUUUUCCCUUCCUCACGAGGCCGUAGCAGAGAGACAACAACAGAUUCCAAAUACGAGUCCAGUAGCUGGACCAGGUGAAAAGCCAAGAAUAAAUGUGAAUUUAGAGACGGACUCCAGAAAUGUCUUUGAAACACUCAGUGUGAUCAGCAGAAUAAUGGCCCCCUAAAGAUGUCCACACUAAUGCC